RNAcentral lists this long non-coding RNA (1419 nucleotides) under Oreochromis niloticus (Nile tilapia). RNAcentral describes it as "lncRNA (ENSONIG00000025136.2)". The record is from RNAcentral. Lineage: Eukaryota; Metazoa; Chordata; Actinopteri; Cichliformes; Cichlidae.
ACAGUGACAGGUCCUCCAGCUUAACCCCUUUGAACACAACCCAUUAGAGCGCAAUAUGGUUCAUCUGUUUUCUGCCUAUGUUUGCAAAGGCCGAGACACAAAACAACUUAGUUAGGAUUAGGGUAAUGUAGAGGACCUUGAUCAUCAUAUUAUAUUAAACAUGUUAAGAUUAAGGAACAUAGUUAAAAAAUAAAAGCAUUUUGAUAUAAAAAAAGUGUUUUGCUGACCCAUCCACUAACCCUGACCUCCACCCUAUGUGGACUUUGCAGCCCAAUAACAACACCUUUUUUCCUCAUUAGUUCACGUUUUCUAGCACUUCGAUUAAGUUUAGAUAAUAAAACAACUUGUUUGGGUUUAAGAAAACAUGAUUUGGAUUAAAGUACAGCCCUUUAAGAAUUUAAGCCUAAUUUUACCCAUGUGCCCCGUUGGUCCUGCCAUACUUACUAUGACCAUGGAAGGAAAUUAUUUCUCUUGGAGACUGCCUUGUUACCUGACAUAAAUCCAUGAUCCAUCAAUGGGUGAACAGAUGUAGAUGGAAGUUUUUAAGGCUCUGAUAUGAAGAAAUUGUUCUUUAACAUGAAUAAAAUCAGCUAUUUGCUACUAAAAAUAAAUAAUCUUCUCUUUUUAAAUUAGAAAAACAGAUAUUUUAAAAGUUAAUCUCAUUUUCUCAGGUAAAAGCAUUGCAUUGCUUUGCUCAAAUAAGAAAAUACUUCAGUACCUAUUUGUUCCAAACACAACAACAAGGAAAGGCCACAUGAUAAGAUUUAAGUGUCCUCUGAAAUACUCCUGUUUGCGCUCUUGAAGGAAGAAUCGUUUACUGUUAGUUUUUUUUUUCCCUCUCUCAGCAGAAGUGCUUCCACAAAGAGUUUCUUUCAUGGACUCUUCGAGACAAGCAAACUUAGUGUUGUUUGGCAGCAACAGUCAGACUAUUACAUGUGCUCCAGAGAAAAAAGGGGAAUUUAGAAUAAAUGUUAAUGAAAGCACGGACAAUCCCCAUCAAGUCUAUGACCAGCUGAACUGGAUCACUGUGGGGAGACUGUGAUUUACAGAUAGCUUCUCAUCCCUUUUACUGGCAGGCCAUCUUUACCUUGAGCACUGGGAGAUAGGUGGUGCGGGCGAAAAGACCUCUUGGAAAAUGUCAGCAACUGUCAGAGCCCCAAAUUUCUUCCAUUAACUCGUUCUUUCCUCUGUGAUGCUACCUUCUUGAAACCCCUUAAUUACAUAACCCCUUUCUCCUAUCACCCAAUGUUUUGUAUCCAAGUAAAGUGUAUGACUUCAGGUCGUGUGGCUUUUUUUUUUUUCUUAUAUAGCUUAAAAUUGAGGGUAACAAAACGAUCCUAGCCCCAUAUUUUUGCCCAUGUGAGCAAAAACAAACACACACAUGCACACUCGCACACACAAAAGGAAAAUGCAGUGACU